Molecule: ribosomal RNA, 352 nt
Filed under: Escherichia coli
Lineage: Bacteria; Pseudomonadati; Pseudomonadota; Gammaproteobacteria; Enterobacterales; Enterobacteriaceae
Description: partial 23S ribosomal RNA
Rfam family: Bacterial large subunit ribosomal RNA
Source: RNAcentral
GUUAAGCGACUAAGCGUACACGGUGGAUGCCCUGGCAGUCAGAGGCGAUGAAGGACGUGCUAAUCUGCGAUAAGCGUCGGUAAGGUGAUAUGAACCGUUAUAACCGGCGAUUUCCGAAUGGGGAAACCCAGUGUGAUUCGUCACACUAUCAUUAACUGAAUCCAUAGGUUAAUGAGGCGAACCGGGGGAACUGAAACAUCUAAGUACCCCGAGGAAAAGAAAUCAACCGAGAUUCCCCCAGUAGCGGCGAGCGAACGGGGAGCAGCCCAGAGCCUGAAUCAGUGUGUGUGUUAGUGGAAGCGUCUGGAAAGGCGCGCGAUACAGGGUGACAGCCCCGUACACAAAAAUGCAC